GUGCUUACUUUGGUAGCACAUAUAAUAAAAUUGUGAUGGUACAGAGAAGAUUAGCAUGGCCCAUGCACAAGGAUGACAUGCAAAUUUGUGAAGCAUUCCAUUUAAAA
This 107-nucleotide small nuclear RNA is filed under the name Vombatus ursinus (common wombat). Lineage: Eukaryota; Metazoa; Chordata; Mammalia; Diprotodontia; Vombatidae. The record is from RNAcentral.